AAGUGUUCAUAUUUUGUUGGUUGCCUUGGCAAACGGAACACGGUGAAACUCCGUGACGGUCCCGCCGCUGUAACCGGAAACAUCUGUUUUUUUUUGUAAAGGCCACUGUGAAAACGGGAAGGCUAAAAAAACAGGUUUAAUGCCGGAAGUCAGAAGACGAGCCAGGUAAAAAUCAUUGUA
Molecule: non-coding RNA, 180 nt
Filed under: Desulfobacula toluolica
Lineage: Bacteria; Pseudomonadati; Thermodesulfobacteriota; Desulfobacteria; Desulfobacterales; Desulfobacteraceae
Also listed under: 1 other name
Source: RNAcentral